AGAGUUUGAUCCUGGCUCAGGAUGAACGCUAGCGGGAGGCCUAAUACAUGCAAGUCGUACGGUAAGUUUCAGCAAUGAAGCCUAGAGUGGCGUACGGGUGAGUAACACGUAUGCAAUCUGCCCCUAACUGGAGGACACUAGCCGAAAGGCUGUAAAUACUCCAUAACGUAACUAGAUGGCAUCAUCAUGUUACCAAAGUUUUCGGUUAGGGAUGAGCAUGCGUCUCAUUAGGUAGUUGGUAGGGUAACGGCCUACCAAGCCGACGAUGAGUAGCUGGUCUGAGAGGAUGAUCAGCCACACGGGCACGGGGACACGGGCCCGACUCCUACGGGAGGCAGCAGUGGGGAAUAUUGGGCAAUGGGCGCAAGCCUGACCCAGCCAUGCCGCGUGCGGGAAGAAGGCCCACUGGGUUGUAAACCGCUUUUCUUCAGGGAUAAGACGGUAUUAGAUACCGGUUGAAGGUACUGAGGGAAUAAGCACCGGCAAACUACGUGCCAGCAGCCGCGGUAAUUC
This 513-nucleotide ribosomal RNA is filed under the name uncultured bacterium. RNAcentral's name for it is "partial 16S ribosomal RNA". It matches the Rfam family "Bacterial small subunit ribosomal RNA", at positions 8 to 526 of the family's 1533-position model. The record is from RNAcentral.